AUUGAACGCUGGCGGCAUGCCUAACACAUGCAAGUCGAGCGAGCGGCGGACGGGUGAGUAAUGUCUGGGAAACUUCCUGAUGGGGGGGGAUAACUACUGGAAACCGUAGCUAAUACCGCAUACCAUCAGAUCUGCCCAGAGGGGAUUAGCUAGUUGGUGGGGUAACGGCGCACCUAGGCGACGAUCCCUAGCUGGUCUGAGAGGAUGACCAGCCACACUGGAACUGAGACACGGUCCAGACUCCUACGGGAGGCAGCAGUGGGGAAUAUUGCACAAUGGGCGCAAGCCUGAGAGAGCCAUGCCGCGUGUGUGAAGAAGGCCUUCGGGUUGUAAAGCACUUUCAGCGGGGAGGCGUUACCCGCAGAAGAAGCACCGGCUAACUCCGUGCCAGCAGCCGCGGUAAUUC
This 406-nucleotide ribosomal RNA is filed under the name uncultured bacterium. RNAcentral's name for it is "partial 16S ribosomal RNA". It matches the Rfam family "Bacterial small subunit ribosomal RNA", at positions 30 to 526 of the family's 1533-position model. The record is from RNAcentral.